UACGGGGGGAGCGAGCGUUGUCCGGAUUCACUGGGCGUAAAGCGCGUGUAGGCGGGUUGGUAAGUCAGUGGUGAAAGCCCUCAGCUUAACUGAGGAAUUGCUGCUGAUACUGCCAAUCUUGAGUGUGGAAGAGGGAAGCGGAAUUCCUGGUGUAGCGGUGAAAUGCGUAGAUAUCAGGAAGAACACCGGUAGCGAAGGCGGCUUCCUGGUCCAUUACUGACGCUGAAACGCGAAAGCGUGGGGAGCAAACAGG
RNAcentral lists this ribosomal RNA (253 nucleotides) under uncultured bacterium. RNAcentral describes it as "partial 16S ribosomal RNA". It matches the Rfam family "Bacterial small subunit ribosomal RNA", at positions 524 to 776 of the family's 1533-position model. The record is from RNAcentral.